RNAcentral lists this ribosomal RNA (336 nucleotides) under Triticum aestivum (bread wheat). RNAcentral's name for it is "partial small subunit ribosomal RNA". Lineage: Eukaryota; Viridiplantae; Streptophyta; Magnoliopsida; Poales; Poaceae. The record is from RNAcentral.
GGUGACCACGGGGAAGAUCCCCGACCUACAUGCCACAAAGACUCGGUCUCGUCGCUUGCGGCGACCCGCUUCAUCGGCUCGAAAAGCACUUUUGUAUGCUAUGGUGUUCUCCCAGAUCUUGGUAUGGCGAUUGUUCUCAUUUUUUUCCGGCGUUGCCAUGGUGGCGGCGAAGGAGUUUGUGGACUACAUUUCGGUGAGGCGCAAGUUUUUCCAAGGGUGUAAUAUUAAUUUUACUUGUGGAAUUCUUUGUGCAAAGUUGCUUGCCAAGCAUGUUUGUCUCGUAUGGUGACCAUAUGUAUAAUCUUUGUAAACAGAUUGUCUAAUGAAAUAUACUAG